UAUUAUCUAUGUGAUUGAUCAUACGCUUUGCUUGUUUGAUGCUACACUAUUAUCUCUUAGCUAUCUUUGUGAUGAUCAUUCACUUAUCUUGUUGGUGCCAUGUGCAUUGCUAUUCAUUCCUAUUUUGUAUGCGCACCACCAAGAUGUAUGUGACAUGGAAGAGUGACCCAUGAUCCUAAUUGAUUGUGCAUUUGCAUUCAAACGCAAAUUUUAAAUAAUGCACAAAUUUAGGGGGAGCUCUUGCUUUUUCA
Molecule: long non-coding RNA, 251 nt
Filed under: Hordeum vulgare
Lineage: Eukaryota; Viridiplantae; Streptophyta; Magnoliopsida; Poales; Poaceae
Description: long non-coding RNA (HVUL_LNC001062)
Source: RNAcentral